Molecule: ribosomal RNA, 391 nt
Filed under: uncultured bacterium
Lineage: Bacteria
Description: bacterial SSU rRNA
Rfam family: Bacterial small subunit ribosomal RNA
Source: RNAcentral
AUUGAACGCUGGCGGCAGGCCUAACACAUGCAAGUCGAGCGGAUGAAAGGGGCUUGCUCCUGGAUUCAGCGGCGGACGGGUGAGUAAUACGCAGGAAUCUACCUAGUAGUGGGGGAUAACGUUUCGAAAGGGACGCUAAUACCGCAUACGUUCUGAGGAAGAAAGCAGGGGAUCGUAAGACCUUGCGCUAUUAGAUGAGCUUGCGUCCGAUUAGCUAGUUGGUGGGGUAAAGGCCUACCAAGGCGACGAUCGGUAACUGGUCUGAGAGGAUGAUCAGUCACACUGGAACUGAGACACGGUCCAGACUCCUACGGGAGGCAGCAGUGGGGAAUAUUGGACAAUGGGGGCGAACCCUGAUCCAGCCAUGCCGCGUGUGCGAAGAAGGCCUCGG